AUCCAGCUGACGAGUCCCAAAUGUGACGAAACGCGCGUCCUGGAU
Non-coding RNA from Schistosoma rodhaini, 45 nucleotides. NCBI's taxonomy places the organism in Eukaryota, Metazoa, Platyhelminthes, Trematoda, Strigeidida, Schistosomatidae. The record is from Rfam.